This 468-nucleotide ribosomal RNA is filed under the name uncultured bacterium. RNAcentral describes it as "partial 16S ribosomal RNA". It matches the Rfam family "Bacterial small subunit ribosomal RNA", at positions 28 to 507 of the family's 1533-position model. The record is from RNAcentral.
GAUGAACGCUGGCGGCGUGCUUAACACAUGCAAGUCGAACGGAAAGGCCGAAGCUUGCUUCGGUACUCGAGUGGCGAACGGGUGAGUAACACGUGGGUGAUCUGCCCUGUACUUCGGGAUAAGCUUGGGAAACUGGGUCUAAUACCGGAUAUGACGAUCUCUUGGAUGGGGUUGUGGAAAGCUUUUGCGGUAUGGGAUGAGCUCGCGGCCUAUCAGCUUGUUGGUGGGGUAAUGGCCUACCAAGGCGUCGACGGGUAGCCGGCCUGAGAGGGUGUACGGCCACAUUGGGACUGAGAUACGGCCCAGACUCCUACGGGAGGCAGUAGUGGGGAAUAUUGCACAAUGGGCGCAAGCCUGAUGCAGCGACGCCGCGUGGGGGAUGACGGCCUUCGGGUUGUAAACUCCUGUCGCAAUCGACGAAGCCUUUUGGUGACGGUAGGUUGAGAAGAAGCACCGGCUAACUACGUG